This 467-nucleotide ribosomal RNA is filed under the name Gobiopterus sp. NMBE 1066470. RNAcentral describes it as "partial 12S ribosomal RNA". It matches the Rfam family "Bacterial small subunit ribosomal RNA", at positions 868 to 1527 of the family's 1533-position model. Lineage: Eukaryota; Metazoa; Chordata; Actinopteri; Gobiiformes; Gobiidae. The record is from RNAcentral.
CUUGCCAGGGAACUACGAGCCCCAGCUUAAAACCCAAAGGACUUGGCGGUGCUUAAGACCCACCUAGAGGAGCCUGUUCUAGAACCGAUAACCCCCGUUCAACCUCACCCCUUCUUGUCCAUCCCGCCUAUAUACCGCCGUCGUCAGCCUGCCCCAUGAGGGCACCACAUCAGGCAUAAUUGGUCCACCCCAAAACGACAGGUCGAGGUGUAGCAUAUGAAAGGGGAAGAAAUGGGCUACAUUCAGUGACCCACUGAAUAACGGACAAUGUUUUGAAAUAGACAUUUUAAGGAGGAUUUAGCAGUAAGUGGGAAGAAGAGCGUCCCCCUGAAAUUGGCCCUGAAGCACGCACACACCGCCCGUCACUCUCCCCAAAUAGCCCCAAAAACUUAAAUAAACCACCCCCUAAAGAGAGGGGAGGCAAGUCGUAACAUGGUAAGUGUACCGGAAGGUGCACUUGGAAAAAC